GGGAUCUUAGCUCAGCUGGGAGAGCAUCUGCCUUACAAGCAGAGGGUCACAGGUUCGAGCCCUGUAGGUCCCAC
Molecule: transfer RNA, 74 nt
Filed under: Lachnospira pectinoschiza
Lineage: Bacteria; Bacillati; Bacillota; Clostridia; Lachnospirales; Lachnospiraceae
Also listed under: 9 other names
Description: tRNA-Val(tac)
Rfam family: tRNA
About the family: Transfer RNA (tRNA) molecules are approximately 80 nucleotides in length.
Source: RNAcentral